CCUACGGGAGGCAGCAGUGGGGAAUUUUGGACAAUGGGCGCAAGCCUGAUCCAGCAAUGCCGCGUGCAGGAUGAAGGCCUUCGGGUUGUAAACUGCUUUUGUACGGAACGAAACGGUGAGCUCUAAUACAGUUUGCUAAUGACGGUACCGUAAGAAUAAGCACCGGCUAACUACGUGCCAGCAGCCGCGGUAAUACGUAGGGUGCGAGCGUUAAUCGGAAUUACUGGGCGUAAAGCGUGCGCAGGCGGUGAUGUAAGACAGAUGUGAAAUCCCCGGGCUCAACCUGGGACCUGCAUUUGUGACUGCAUCGCUAGAGUACGGUAGAGGGGGAUGGAAUUCCGCGUGUAGCAGUGAAAUGCGUAGAUAUGCGGAGGAACACCGAUGGCGAAGGCAAUCCCCUGGACCUGUACUGACGCUCAUGCACGAAAGCGUGGGGAGCAAACAGGAUUAGAUACCCUGGUAGUCCACGCCCUAAACGAUGUCAACUGGUUGUUGGGUCUUCACUGACUCAGUAACGAAGCUAACGCGUGAAGUUGACCGCCUGGGGAGUACGGCCGCAAGGUUGAAACUCAAAGGAUUGACGGCUGAGACGNGCGAGGACGACACGAGGGGAGGAGG
This 618-nucleotide ribosomal RNA is filed under the name uncultured bacterium. RNAcentral describes it as "bacterial SSU rRNA". It matches the Rfam family "Bacterial small subunit ribosomal RNA", at positions 338 to 950 of the family's 1533-position model. The record is from RNAcentral.